This 335-nucleotide ribosomal RNA is filed under the name uncultured bacterium. RNAcentral describes it as "bacterial SSU rRNA". It matches the Rfam family "Bacterial small subunit ribosomal RNA", at positions 18 to 344 of the family's 1533-position model. The record is from RNAcentral.
CAUGGCUCAGGAUGAACGCUAGCGAUAGGCUUAACACAUGCAAGUCGAGGGGCAGCAUGGUCUUAGCUUGCUAAGACUGAUGGCGACCGGCGCACGGGUGCGUAAAGCGUAUGCAACUUGGCUCACAGAGGGGGAUAACCCGUCGAAAGACGGACUAAUACCGCGUACAGUUAGGAUAGGGCAUCCUAUCCCAAGGAAAUGAAAGUCGCUGUGAGAUAGGCAUGCGUACCAUUAGCUAGUUGGUGGGGUAACGGCUCACCAAGGCGACGAUGGGUAGGGGAACUGAGAGGUUGAACGCCCACACUGGUACUGAGACACGGACCAGACUCCUACGG